UACAGAGGCCUCGAGCGUUAGGCGGAAUCACUGGGCUUAAAGCGUGUGUAGGCGGACUUCUAAGUGCCUUGUGAAAUCCCACGGCUCACCCGUGGAACUGCUGGGCAUACUGGGAGUCUUGAGCCACCUAGGGGCGAGCGGAACAAAUGGUGGAGCGGUGAAAUGCGUAGAUAUCAUGUGGAACGCCAACGGAGAAGUCAGCUCGCUGGGGGUGUGCUGACGCUGAGACACGAAAGCCAGGGGAGCGAACGGG
RNAcentral lists this ribosomal RNA (253 nucleotides) under uncultured bacterium. RNAcentral describes it as "partial 16S ribosomal RNA". It matches the Rfam family "Bacterial small subunit ribosomal RNA", at positions 524 to 776 of the family's 1533-position model. The record is from RNAcentral.